RNAcentral lists this long non-coding RNA (227 nucleotides) under Capsicum annuum. RNAcentral describes it as "long non-coding RNA (CANN_LNC014908)". Lineage: Eukaryota; Viridiplantae; Streptophyta; Magnoliopsida; Solanales; Solanaceae. The record is from RNAcentral.
UGGGUAAUUCAAGAAAAAUUUGUAAGGAGAUGCACUUCCUUGUUUGGGCAAUUCAAGCAGCAUUUGUGAGGAGACGCACUUCCUUGUUUGGGCAAUUCAAGUAGCUUUUGUGAGGAGAUACACUUCCAUGUUUUGUUAAUUCAAGAAACAUUUGUAAGGAGAUGCACUUCCUUGUUUGGGUAAUUCAAGCAACAUUGGUAAGGAGAUGCACUUCCUUAUUUUGGUAA